GAUCAUGGCUCAGGAUGAACGCUAGCGACAGGCUAACACAUGCAAGUCGAGGGGCAGCAUAAAAGUAGCAAUACUUGGUGGCGACCGGCGCACGGGUGAGUAACGCGUAUGCAACCUACCUAUCAGAGGGGAAUAACCCGGCGAAAGUCGGACUAAUACCGCAUAAAACAGGGGCACCGCGUGGUGAUAUUUGUUAAAGAAAUUCGCUGAUAGAUGGGCAUGCGUUCCAUUAGGUAGUUGGUGAGGUAACGGCUCACCAAGCCGACGAUGGAUAGGGGAACUGAGAGGUUGGUCCCCCACACUGGUACUGAGACACGGACCAGACUCCUACGGGAGGCAGCAGUGAGGAAUAUUGGUCAAUGGGCGGGAGCCUGAACCAGCCAAGUCGCGUGAAGGAAGAAGGAUCUAUGGUUCGUAAACUUCUUUUGCAGGGGAAUAAAGUGCAGGACGUGUCCUGUUUUGUAUGUACCCUGAGAAUAAGGAUCGGCUAACUCCGUGCCAGCAGCCGC
This 509-nucleotide ribosomal RNA is filed under the name uncultured bacterium. RNAcentral describes it as "bacterial SSU rRNA". It matches the Rfam family "Bacterial small subunit ribosomal RNA", at positions 15 to 518 of the family's 1533-position model. The record is from RNAcentral.